RNAcentral lists this transfer RNA (83 nucleotides) under Butyricicoccus pullicaecorum. RNAcentral's name for it is "tRNA-Leu". It matches the Rfam family "tRNA". Rfam says of the family: Transfer RNA (tRNA) molecules are approximately 80 nucleotides in length. Their secondary structure includes four short double-helical elements and three loops (D, anti-codon, and T loops). Lineage: Bacteria; Bacillati; Bacillota; Clostridia; Eubacteriales; Butyricicoccaceae. The record is from RNAcentral. RNAcentral also lists the same sequence under 1 other name.
GCGGGUGUGGCGGAAUGGCAGACGCGCCAGAUUUAGGUUCUGGUGUUUUUGACGUGCAGGUUCAAGUCCUGUCACCCGCACCA